GCAGAUGUGUGGACAGCUAUGAGCCAAACUUGGGACGUUUGGUUUUUAGCAGGUGGAGAGACCGUCUGGGCAGCAGAAACAAGACAACUAAUCAUAGUCCUCCUGAUCAUUCUGUUCUCCUGGUUGUGAGGAUGUGCAGAGGCUGUAUUUGUCAGUGUUAAAAGACUUGUGCAGCUGUAUCUAGACAUACAAGCAGCCGACAAAGAGUUCUGGAGCAGGACAGACAGGGCAGCACGGUGGCGCAGAGGGUAGCACGUUUGCCUCACAGCAAGAAGGUUGCUGCUUCA
This is a non-coding RNA of Danio rerio (zebrafish), 287 nucleotides long. The record is from RefSeq and is a predicted model, not a curated record. Lineage: Eukaryota; Metazoa; Chordata; Actinopteri; Cypriniformes; Danionidae.